Molecule: ribosomal RNA, 293 nt
Filed under: uncultured Lactobacillales bacterium
Lineage: Bacteria; Bacillati; Bacillota; Bacilli; Lactobacillales
Description: partial 16S ribosomal RNA
Rfam family: Bacterial small subunit ribosomal RNA
Source: RNAcentral
GGUAGGGUAACGGGCCUACCCAAGGCGAUGAUGCAUAGCCGAGUUGAGAGACUGAUCGGGCCACAUUGGGGACUGAGACACGGGCCCAAACUCCUACGGGAGGCAGCAGUAGGGAAUCUUCCACAAUGGACGCAAGUCUGAUGGAGCAAACGCCGCGUGAGUGAAGAAGGGUUUCGGCUCGUAAAAAGCUCUGUUGUUGGUGAAGAAGGACAGGGGUAGUAACUGACCCUUUGUUUUGACGGUAAUCAAUUAGAAAGUCACGGGCUAACUACGUGCCAGCAGCCGCGGUAAAU